UACGUAGGGUGCGAGCGUUAUCCGGAAUUAUUGGGCGUAAAGAGCUCGUAGGCGGUUUGUCACGUCUGCUGUGAAAACUGGAGGCUCAACCUUCAGCCUGCAGUGGGUACGGGCAGACUAGAGUGCGGUAGGGGAGAUUGGAAUUCCUGGUGUAGCGGUGGAAUGCGCAGAUAUCAGGAGGAACACCGAUGGCGAAGGCAGAUCUCUGGGCCGUUACUGACGCUGAGGAGCGAAAGCGUGGGGAGCGAACAGG
RNAcentral lists this ribosomal RNA (253 nucleotides) under uncultured bacterium. RNAcentral describes it as "partial 16S ribosomal RNA". It matches the Rfam family "Bacterial small subunit ribosomal RNA", at positions 524 to 776 of the family's 1533-position model. The record is from RNAcentral.